UGCUAAUACCGCAUAAUGUCUUCGGACCAAACGGGGCUUCGGCUCCGGCGCAAAGAGAGGCCCAAGUGAGAUUACCUAGUUGGUGAGGUAAAGGCUCACCAAGGCGACGAUCUCUAGCUGUUCUGAGAGGAAGAUCAGCCACACUGGGACUGAAACACGGCCCAGACUCCUACGGGAGGCAGCAGUGGGGAAUAUUGCACAAUGGGGGAAACCCUGAUGCAGCCAUGCCGCGUGUGUGAAGAAGGCCUUCGGGUUGAAAAGCACUUUCAGUUGUGAGGAAAAGUUAGUAGUUAAUACCUGCUAGCCGUGACGUUAACAACAGAAGAAGCACCGGCUAACUCCGUGCCAGCAGCCGCGGUAAUACGGAGGGUGCGAGCGUUAAUCGGAAUUACUGGGCGUAAAAGCGCACGCAGGCGGUUUGUUAAGCUAGAUGUGAAAGCCCCGGG
RNAcentral lists this ribosomal RNA (446 nucleotides) under uncultured Alteromonas sp. RNAcentral's name for it is "bacterial SSU rRNA". It matches the Rfam family "Bacterial small subunit ribosomal RNA", at positions 161 to 607 of the family's 1533-position model. The record is from RNAcentral. Lineage: Bacteria; Pseudomonadati; Pseudomonadota; Gammaproteobacteria; Alteromonadales; Alteromonadaceae.